Etheostoma cragini (Arkansas darter) is the source of this 154-nucleotide long non-coding RNA. RefSeq lists it as uncharacterized. Lineage: Eukaryota; Metazoa; Chordata; Actinopteri; Perciformes; Percidae. The transcript has 4 exons. The record is from RefSeq and is a predicted model, not a curated record.
CCUUUUAUAGACUCUGUUUGUCGGUGUAGAGCUAGCAAAGCUGGUAAUGGUCGUCUGGUUAACACAAGAUUUUAGCUGUGACUGUCCUUUCUUUGCGGUAAGUGAAGUUGCUCCAUUUUGGCUGCUGUCUGUAGAUUCCUUAAUUCUUUCGGAU